RNAcentral lists this non-coding RNA (27 nucleotides) under Mus musculus (house mouse). Lineage: Eukaryota; Metazoa; Chordata; Mammalia; Rodentia; Muridae. The record is from RNAcentral.
UGUCAGCCAAAGUCCAUUCCUCCUCUU